Molecule: ribosomal RNA, 329 nt
Filed under: uncultured eukaryote
Lineage: Eukaryota
Description: partial 18S ribosomal RNA
Rfam family: Eukaryotic small subunit ribosomal RNA
Source: RNAcentral
UCCUUAGACGUUCUGGGCCGCACGCGCGCCACACUGACAAAGGCAACGAGCUACUCUUCACCGAAAGGUGUGGGUAAUCUUUUGAAACUUUGUCGUGCUGGGGAUAGAUCCUUGCAAUUUUUGAUCUUAAACGAGGAAUUCCUAGUAAGCGCAAGUCAUCAACUUGCGUUGAUUACGUCCCUGCCCUUUGUACACACCGCCCGUCGCUACUACCGAUUGAAUGGUUUAGUGAGAUCUCUGGAUUGACGCUGGCUAGGGGGCGACCCUUGGCCAGACUGCUCGAGAAACUGCUCAAACUUGAUCAUUUAGAGGAAGUAAAAGUCGUAACA